RNAcentral lists this ribosomal RNA (432 nucleotides) under uncultured bacterium. Its description in RNAcentral is "partial 16S ribosomal RNA". It matches the Rfam family "Bacterial small subunit ribosomal RNA", at positions 29 to 506 of the family's 1533-position model. The record is from RNAcentral.
AACGAACGCUGGCGGUAUGCCUAACACAUGCAAGUCGAACGAGACCUUCGGGUCUAGUGGCGCACGGGUGCGUAACGCGUGGGAACCUGCCCUUAGGUUCGGAAUAACUCCCCGAAAGGGGUGCUAAUACCGGAUAAUGUCUUCGGACCAAAGAUUUAUCGCCUUUGGAUGGGCCCGCGUUGGAUUAGCUAGUUGGUAGGGUAAAAGCCUACCAAGGCGACGAUCCAUAGCUGGUCUGAGAGGAUGAUCAGCCACACUGGGACUGAGACACGGCCCAGACUCCUACGGGAGGCAGCAGUGGGGAAUAUUGGACAAUGGGCGAAAGCCUGAUCCAGCAAUGCCGCGUGAGUGAUGAAGGCCUUAGGGUUGUAAAGCUCUUUUACCCGGGAUGAUAAUGACAGUACCGGGAGAAUAAGCUCCGGCUAACUCCGU